Molecule: small nuclear RNA, 184 nt
Organism: Dermacentor andersoni
Lineage: Eukaryota; Metazoa; Arthropoda; Arachnida; Ixodida; Ixodidae
Product: U2 spliceosomal RNA
Source: RefSeq, a predicted model, not a curated record
GACGCGGCCGACGCGGGUCAAAGGUGUAGUAUCUGUUCUUAUCAGCUUAAUAUCUGCUACUGGUUGUAUUUGGACAUGCGAUAUUAAAGUUGUUUUUGCAAGCUGGCUGAGUGCUUGAAGCCUGCUUCACCUACUCCGUGGGUCGGCCCGGUAUAUCGCUAUCUUCGGGGUCGGCCCACGUAUG